AACGAACGCUGGCGGCAUGCCUAACACAUGCAAGUCGAACGAGACCUUCGGGUCUAGUGGCGCACGGGUGCGUAACGCGUGGGAACCUGCCCUUAGGUUCGGAAUAACUCCCCGAAAGGGGUGCUAAUACCGGAUAAUGUCUUCGGACCAAAGAUUUAUUGCGUUUGGAUGGGCCCGCGUUGGAUUAGCUAGUUGGUAGGGUAAAAGCCUACCAAGGCGACGAUCCAUAGCUGGUCUGAGAGGAUGAUCAGCCACACUGGGACUGAGACACGGCCCAGACUCCUACGGGAGGCAGCAGUGGGGAAUAUUGGACAAUGGGCGAAAGCCUGAUCCAGCAAUGCCGCGUGAGUGAUGAAGGCCUUAGGGUUGUAAAGCUCUUUUAACCGGGAUGAUAAUGACAGUACCGGGAGAAUAAGCUCCGGCUAACUCCGUG
Molecule: ribosomal RNA, 433 nt
Filed under: uncultured bacterium
Lineage: Bacteria
Description: partial 16S ribosomal RNA
Rfam family: Bacterial small subunit ribosomal RNA
Source: RNAcentral